Molecule: ribosomal RNA, 468 nt
Filed under: uncultured bacterium
Lineage: Bacteria
Description: partial 16S ribosomal RNA
Rfam family: Bacterial small subunit ribosomal RNA
Source: RNAcentral
GACGAACGCUGGCGGCGUGCUUAACACAUGCAAGUCGAACGGAAAGGCCCUGCUUUUGUGUGGUUCUCGAGUGGCGAACGGGUGAGUAACACGUGAGUAACCUGCCCUUGACUUUGGGAUAACUUCAGGAAACUGGGGCUAAUACCGGAUAGGAUCUCCUGCUGCAUGGUGGGGGUUGGAAAGUGUCGGCGGUUGGGGAUGGACUCGCGGCUUAUCAGCUUGUUGGUGUGGUAGUGGUUUACCAAGGCUUUGACGGGUAGCCGGCCUGAGAGGGUGACCGGCCACCUUGGGACUGAGGUACGGACCAGAAUCCUACGGGAGGCAGCAGGGGGGAGUAUUGCAGAGUGGGCGGGAGCCUGAUGCAGAAACGCCGCGUGCGGGAUGACGGCCUUCGGGUUGUAAACCGCUUUCGACUGUGACGAAGAGUGAGUGACGGUAAUGGGUAAAGAAGCAACGGCUAACUACGUG